This 334-nucleotide unclassified non-coding RNA is filed under the name soil metagenome. RNAcentral's name for it is "partial contains 5.8S ribosomal RNA, internal transcribed spacer 2, and large subunit ribosomal RNA". The stretch from base 1 to 120 matches the Rfam family "5.8S ribosomal RNA", at positions 35 to 154 of the family's 154-position model. The record is from RNAcentral.
GAUGAAGAACGUAGCGAAAUGCGAUAAGUAAUGUGAAUUGCAGAAUUCAGUGAAUCAUCGAAUCUUUGAACGCACAUUGCGCCCGCCAGUAUUCUGGCGGGCAUGCCUGUUCGAGCGUCAUUUCAACCAUCAAGCCCUGCUUGCGUUGGGGUCCUGCGGCUGCCCGCAGGCCCUGAAAACCAGUGGCGGGCUCGCUAGUCACACCGAGCGCAGUAAUACAUCUCGCUUUGGGCGUGCGGCGGGUUCUUGCCGUUAAACACCCCCUUUUUACCAAGGUUGACCUCGGAUCAGGUAGGAAUACCCGCUGAACUUAAGCAUAACAAUAAGCGGAGGA